This 28-nucleotide unclassified non-coding RNA is filed under the name Dictyostelium discoideum. Lineage: Eukaryota; Evosea; Eumycetozoa; Dictyosteliales; Dictyosteliaceae. The record is from RNAcentral.
AACAACUUCAAUGGAUCACCUAAAAAAU